UUGGAAAGUGGACAAGUGCUCACAGCACGGAAGCUUGUCAGCCAUUGUGAAAUUAACCUUGCUUGUGGCAGAUGUCGUCACCACACCGACGCCUCCUGUGGAGUCACGGCCACGGUUAAGGAUCACAGGAAGGGAGCGGGCUCCUGGCCCACGCACAGCGCUGCCUCUGCCCCUGCAGCUGCCUCACCAUCCUCCCCGCCUACGCUGUCCACGCUGGGUGGUCGCUGUCUCGGGGCAAGUCUUCCACCUCCGCUGGACCUAGAGCUCAGCGGGGCAGGAAUCGGGGCCAGCCACAUCAGUCACGGCCAUGUCCCCUGCUACUGGGGACCCCGGGCCAGAGGAUGCUCAUGGGAAAUGAGCGCUCAGCCAGCUGGUCCCCUCCACGCAAGGCAGACACUGGACAAGGCCCACUGCGGGUUGCCCAGCUCAGCGACCUGCACAUAUCCCGGCCCACACAGCCUAGGAAGGGACACGGCACCUGCUCUGUGCCAUGCACAGGUGCAGGGGGAUCCCUUUGGUCUCUCCUGCACCUGCCACCUGCCCUGCCCAACAGGGGACAGUGCUGUGGAGCAAGCACAGAGGCACUGGCUCCCUGGCUCUGAGCUGAUCUCUGGGGCUGGGGGACGGCCAGCUCUAUGCCCACACAAACCUGUGUCAGGCCAGGUUCUGCCAGGCCAUGGCUGGGUGACCCUGGGGAGGUGACUUUGCCUCGCUGAGCCCGGGUUCCUUCCCGCUAAGUGGAGUGGAGCCUGCCCAGGUGAUGCGUUGUCAGCAGGACUGACAGACAUCAUGUGUCUCAGGGUCUGGCCAUGGAAGGUCACCGAAGACCACCCCACGCCCAGGACUGGAC
RNAcentral lists this long non-coding RNA (850 nucleotides) under Oryctolagus cuniculus (rabbit). RNAcentral describes it as "lncRNA (ENSOCUG00000035939.1)". Lineage: Eukaryota; Metazoa; Chordata; Mammalia; Lagomorpha; Leporidae. The record is from RNAcentral.